RNAcentral lists this ribosomal RNA (292 nucleotides) under uncultured bacterium. Its description in RNAcentral is "partial 16S ribosomal RNA". It matches the Rfam family "Archaeal small subunit ribosomal RNA", at positions 455 to 747 of the family's 1478-position model. The record is from RNAcentral.
GUGUCAGCCGCCGCGGUAAUACCCGCAGCCCAAGUGGUGCUCGUUAUUAUUGGGCCUAAAACGUCCGUAGCCGGACCUGUAAAUCCAUGUGGAAAUCGGAGGGCCUAACCCUCCGAAGGGCGUGGACACUGCAGGCCUUGGGACUGGGUGAGUUCGGAGGUACUUCCGGGGUAGGGGUGAAAUCCUGUAAUCCUGGGAGGACCACCAGUGGCGAAGGCGUCCGAAUAGAACGGAUCCGACGGUCAGGGACGAAGCCCUGGGGCGCAAACGGGAUUAGAUACCCCGGUAGUCC